UAUAUCCAGUAUGCUUUUACUGUUAGUAAAGUCUAGUCCCUAUCGACGCACGUUGAUAUUAACAAAUGAGCAGUAAGUGAAGCAGAUUGACUAAGUGUUGAGUCUUCUUGUGUGACUAACGAUUAUUGCUAACGAGCAUGAUAAAUGCUUCAGCAAUCGUCAAUGGCUACCUUCUAUCGUACGAUACUUUUCUUUUUAUUUCGAGUUGUCAGAAAAUAAAAUAUUACAGCGUCGAUUUUUAAUCCAAAGUUAUUGCAAAGAAAAUCGUCGGAAGUAUUCGCAACAGGUUGAUGGAUCGUCAUAUCACAUGGUCGCAUGUAUGAUGCGAUUAGACUUUGAUCCCAUUUAUUGUCCUGGAAACGUUAGGGUGGAUCGAAAAUUUAACUACUUCCGGUGGAUGGACUGAUCGUUAGUAGUCGAUAAUAAUAGAUUAAUGAAAAGAAUAUUUUUACAUUGUAAAAAUAAUGUUUGCAUGUAAGAAAAAUUAAUAAACUACAGGUUGUCUUUUAAAAUCUUGUUCGAACAAGCGUAGAUGAACGUAAUGGACAUUUCUUACAUUCUACACACAUACACACACAUAUUGACACGUAAAGAUUCAGUUGACAUUGACGGUUUUAUUACUUCUCGUUGAACUUAGCUUGUUCCAGACAGGAAAACUUGUUUCUAACCACAAAGAUUCUGAUCGAUACGACAUUUCUAAGAAUAUUUAUCAUAAAUUUUAUAUAUUUGUGUACAUAUAAAAUUGAUGAUAUUCGUGAUAACUGUUUUUCAAGCAGCGAGAAUUCAAUGUGGAAAUUUACUCUCCUCCAUGUCAUUCGUUAUCUCAUUCGGUUCUAUUUAAUCAUUGUGAAUAUACGUGGUUUAUCUGGUAGGGGAACUGUGACUAGUGUCGACUGAUAGUAACGAGCUUGCUAACAAAGGCGUAAUCCUUCAGGGGGCAUCUUUAAAAUCUGCAAUAUUUUAAAUAAACGUAACCAUUUCUUUAUAUAAUAAAUUAUUUAAAAAAAAUAGAAAAAAACAACAAAAUAUUUUUCUAACACAUCAAACAACUUUUCAUUUGUGUUGUAAUAAAAAUUAAAAUUAAUUUAAGUAAAAUUUAACGGUCAUUGAUAUUUUAUUCUUCUAAACGAAUUUGAAAAAAUUAUGAUAAUUAGAUAAUAUUUAUCAUCAUAAUCAUUCUUGUUAUUACGUUUUUCGUUUCAUUCAAAAUUAUUAUAAGUCACAAGAGGAAAGAGUAAAUAAGCGAGUUCGCCGAGCAGGAAGGAACGUUAAUUAAA
This 1277-nucleotide long non-coding RNA is filed under the name Polistes fuscatus (common paper wasp). Its description in RNAcentral is "uncharacterized LOC122516136". The record is from RNAcentral. Lineage: Eukaryota; Metazoa; Arthropoda; Insecta; Hymenoptera; Vespidae.